AACUCGACUACAUGAAGCUGGAAUCGCUAGUAAUCGCAGAUCAGAAUGCUGCGGUGAAUACGUUCCCGGGUCUUGUACACACCGCCCGUCACACCAUGGGAGUCGGAAAUGCCCGAAGCCGGUGACCAAACCAAUAAGGAAGGAGCCGUCGAAGGCAGGUCUGAUAACUGGGGUGAAGUCGUAACAAGGUAUC
Molecule: ribosomal RNA, 193 nt
Filed under: uncultured bacterium
Lineage: Bacteria
Description: partial 16S ribosomal RNA
Rfam family: Bacterial small subunit ribosomal RNA
Source: RNAcentral